This 524-nucleotide ribosomal RNA is filed under the name Bathippus gahavisuka. RNAcentral describes it as "partial 16S ribosomal RNA". The stretch from base 133 to 429 matches the Rfam family "Bacterial large subunit ribosomal RNA", at positions 2074 to 2646 of the family's 2925-position model. Lineage: Eukaryota; Metazoa; Arthropoda; Arachnida; Araneae; Salticidae. The record is from RNAcentral.
CGCAAUUCGUGCUAAGGUAGCAUAAUCAUUUGUCUUUUAAAUGAAGACUAGAACAAAAGAUUUAAUAUUUUAAUUUUUAUAUUUAAAUAUAUAAUCAAACCUUUACAAAAUGUAAAAAGACAUUUCUAAAAAAGAAAGACGACAAGACCCUAUCGAACUUUACUUAAGUUUAACUGGGGCAGUUAAUUAAUAAUUAUUUUAAUUUAAAUUUAAUUAAUAUUAUCCAAUUAACUGAUAAUUAAGUUACCGUAGGGAUAACAGCGCAAUUAAUUUUUAAAGCUCUUAUUUAAAAAAUAGAUUACGACCUCGAUGUUGAAUUAAUAACCUAUCUUUUAAAGCAAAUUUUAGAAUAAGGGAGUCUGUUCGACUCAUAACAAAUUACAUGAUUUGAGUUCAGACCGGUAUAAGCCAGGUCGGUUUCAAUCUUCUAAAAAUCUUUUUACAGUACGAAAGGACCUAAAAAUCUAAUUUAAUUAAUUAAUUGGCAGAAAAAUGCAUUAGAAUUAGAAUCUAAUUAAACUAAU